AUAUCGACAGGGCCGACGCAGGUGAAAGUAUAGUAUCUCUUCCUAUCAGCUUAAUAUCUGAUACGAGUUCUAUAUGGACCGAAUAUAUUAAGCUUAUUGUACCUAACUGGCUCAGUGCUUGAAGCCUGCAUCGCCUCCGCCGCAGAUCGGCCCCGUAUUUCACUGUCUCCGGGAUCGGCCCACGGUUU
This is a small nuclear RNA of Dermacentor albipictus, 188 nucleotides long. RefSeq annotates it as U2 spliceosomal RNA. NCBI's taxonomy places the organism in Eukaryota, Metazoa, Arthropoda, Arachnida, Ixodida, Ixodidae. The record is from RefSeq and is a predicted model, not a curated record.